Non-coding RNA from Megalopta genalis, 597 nucleotides. The record is from RefSeq and is a predicted model, not a curated record. NCBI's taxonomy places the organism in Eukaryota, Metazoa, Arthropoda, Insecta, Hymenoptera, Halictidae.
GAGGCAGCGGCGGCGGCGGAGGAGGAGGAGGAGGAGGUCAGGAACGCGGAAAAUAGAAGGGACGAGAAACAAAUCGUAAUGAUAGGUGGAGGGGGUGCCAGCGUGCAAGUCGGACCAUGGAUGGUGAACUCGCGAGAAAGACGAACCGUCUAAAAGCAAACGAAGGUAAGCGUAGUUGGAGGAGCGAAAAGAAUAGUAUUUCUAGAAGACGAAUUAGGAGAAGCUAUGAGAGAAUCGCGAGACGAAGUUUCAGCGCCCACUUCGCGUAUGAAAAAUACAAUACGAUCGAAAUGGAACCGGUCGGAUAUUGACACUGGAAAAGCGGAUGGAAGUUCGAGUCCAAUUAAAAGCCGCGGCACAUCGAUCGAAUUAAAAAAAUAUUACCCGACACGCAGCUGGAAGAACGACAAUAAAUUACAUCGAACUAGCUUCGGGUAUUAACGAUCCGGCCAGGCUUUUCGAUUAAAACCUGUCUCUCUCUCUCUCUUUUUCUUUCUCUCUCUCUCUUUCGAUCGAGCCGGGUGAUACGAAGAUAAUUGAGACAAAGGAACAAAUUCCCUGAUAAAUAUUUCACUGUGUCGAUCAAGAACAACGGCA